AUGAGGAGACUCCAAAGUCAGCUGUCCCUCCGUCCGUCGCCCCUGCCUGGCUGCUCUCCCUGCGCUGCGCCAUCUGGCGGCCGCGUCUUGCAAGGGCCGGUGGCUGCCGGAAAGGUCAGACCGCCCCCUGAGGGUGAACUAGAGAAGAGCAGCCUGGCGAGAGGGAGGGAGAAGGCGAAGAGUUAUGGGGCUAAGUUGACAAGGCCGGGUUCCCCAAAAAGAGGCCCGUGGGCAGAUCAGGAGCCCCAGCACGAGGGGAACCNGAAGAAAAUGAAGUAUGGCCUGGAANUAAGAUUGGAUGAUAAUUGCUUGGGAUCAGAAGAUCUGGAUAUUUGAAAACCUGAAUCCCAAGAUACAAAAAGAUUUGGUUACUGUUUCAUAUCCUGAGAAGAGCUGUGUCUGCAANUGAAUGCUNCAAUUUAUAUUUUUGGGUGNGGUCUGACAUUGUAAAUUUAAUCCGUAUUGGAAGAGUAUGAGGACUGAAUUNUUUUCCANUNGUUCCCACAUUUGCAUUUUAACACGGACUCAAUUUGGACUUGCAUGGAGAAACAGUACCUUUUCUGCCUCCACCUCUCGUCAAAUUCUCCUCCCUGUGCAGUCAGUGAUUGGCUGCAGUCCCAACGUUCAAAUCUUGACUUCACAGGGUGGGAAAAUCAAGCUCCAUCCUCUGUAUAUCCCUGCUGCCAUCUCAGAACAUGGAUUCACUUGGCAGCAUUACUAGUCAUUUGCCAUAUUUGCUCUUUCUCCUCCUCCAGCCUNUAUCUACACAAGCAGAACUUUAAUACCACAUGUACCGCACAAUAAAGCUUCUUAAAGGGCAGAUGGCGAUUUCUGC
This 835-nucleotide long non-coding RNA is filed under the name Salvator merianae (Argentine black and white tegu). RNAcentral describes it as "lncRNA (ENSSMRG00000019864.1)". Lineage: Eukaryota; Metazoa; Chordata; Lepidosauria; Squamata; Teiidae. The record is from RNAcentral.